GCUGACGAGCGGCGGACGGGUGAGUAAUGCAUAGGAAUCUGCCCGAUAGUGGGGGAUAACCUGGGGAAACCCAGGCUAAUACCGCAUACGUCCUACGGGAGAAAGGGGGCUUCGGCUCCCGCUAUCGGAUGAGCCUAUGUCGGAUUAGCUAGUUGGUGAGGUAACGGCUCACCAAGGCCACGAUCCGUAGCUGGUCUGAGAGGAUGAUCAGCCACAUCGGGACUGAGACACGGCCCGAACUCCUACGGGAGGCAGCAGUGGGGAAUAUUGGACAAUGGGGGGAACCCUGAUCCAGCCAUGCCGCGUGUGUGAAGAAGGCCCUCGGGUUGUAAAGCACUUUCAGCGAGGAAGAACGCCUAGCGGUUAAUACCCGCUAGGAAAGACAUCACUCGCAUAAGAAGCACCGGCUAACUCCGUGCCAGCAGCCGCGGUAAUACGGAGGGUGCAAGCGUUAAUCGGAAUUACUGGGCGUAAAGCGCGCGUAGGUGGCUUGAUAAGCCGGUUGUGAAAGCCCCGGGCUCAACCUGGGAACGGCAUCCGGAACUGUCAAGCUAGAGUGCAGGAGAGGAAGGUAGAAUUCCCGGGUGUAGCGGUGAAAUGCGUAGAGAUCGGGAGGAAUACCAGUGGCGAAAGCGGCCUUCUGGACUGACACUGACACUGAGGUGCGAAAGCGUGGGUAGC
This 681-nucleotide ribosomal RNA is filed under the name Vreelandella aquamarina. Its description in RNAcentral is "bacterial SSU rRNA". It matches the Rfam family "Bacterial small subunit ribosomal RNA", at positions 87 to 769 of the family's 1533-position model. Lineage: Bacteria; Pseudomonadati; Pseudomonadota; Gammaproteobacteria; Oceanospirillales; Halomonadaceae. The record is from RNAcentral.